Molecule: long non-coding RNA, 1287 nt
Filed under: Equus asinus (donkey)
Lineage: Eukaryota; Metazoa; Chordata; Mammalia; Perissodactyla; Equidae
Description: lncRNA (ENSEASG00005026592.1)
Source: RNAcentral
GGAUGUGGGCUUUCCCCUCUUCCCGGGAAUGGUCAAUAUAUUUGAGAGGCAGGAUUGCAGAGCGGUAAGGCACACAGACCCCUAACCACUUGGGUAGAAUCCCUCACUGCUCCACAUCUUCCCAGUUGUGGGACCUUGGACUGUGGGUCAUUUAAGCUUUUCAUGGCAGCUUCCUCAUCUGUAAAAUGGGAUAACAAUAAUCUCUCUCUUGGGAUUGUUGUAAUGAUUAAAUCAGUGAAGGUAUAUAAACUAUCAAGAACAGGGCCUGUGCAUGUUAACUACUGUUACUAUUAUUUGUCUGUCCCAACACACCUGCCAGGAAUCUAAUGACAAUCAGGGGAGGGUGGAGGCUGCACCAGGGCUUGGCAUGAUUGUCCCCAAGAUGACUCGCCGUCUGGCUUGAGAUGUCUUCCUCAGACACUCGUCUUGUCCCCUGCUCCCUCCAGGCCUCAGGCUCGAUCACAUAUGAGCCGUCCUUCCACUGGCCUUCCCCAUCAUCUGCCUUGGCAGGAGGCUGGGGUGGGGGGAGCGGCGAGGGUUUCUUCUGCCAGUGAGGCAAUGGAAGGUGCAAUCCUGCUGGGCCCCGCUGGCUACCAGUGGACAGGUGAUCACGCCAGGCCAUCUUCUCAGGCUCCCAGGAGAGCGGGAAUGAGAAAGAGACAAGAAAGGCAAGGGAGCAGUAGUGUUGAGGGGGACAGAGAUAGGGGAACGCGGGUUUGGGACACCUUCAUUUUCACUGAUUUGAAUGACCUUCUUUGGAUCCUUGUACUCCCUGCCCCUCCCCCCCCAAUUUCCCUUUCUGCAGCUUCCUCUCUUAGGCAUAUCAUCCAGAUUAGAAGGAUGAAGACGAUGUUUACACAAUGCAGUAUAGCAUGGGGUUAAGUGGAGCCAGGCAACCUGGGUUCAAGGUCCAGCUUCAUCAUUUACUAGUGGUGUGGGCAGUGGCGGAGAGUAAAUCCAUCUGAAGCCCUUGGAACAGUGCCAGGCACUCAGAGGCUACUGCGACCCAUGGGGAGGUCUGUAGGUACCCAGACGUCCUGCCUCACUCCCCUGCUCCUGUCCCACCUGCCCAAAGGAGGGGCAGUGUGAAAAGGAAAUGGGAGACCCCUUUUGGACCCCACGGCCAGUCUCUGGAAGCUCCUCUGCAAGAACUUCUAGACCAGGCCACUGGCCCCAGAAACCUAAAACUUCAACUCCCUGCCCCACCCCCACUCCUCAAAGUUCUUCCCCAGGCACAGCUGUGCCCUCAGUGUUAUCCUUUCCCACCAAUAUCCAAGCUCUUCUUCC